UUGUACACACCGCCCGUCACGUCACGAAAGUCGGUAACACCCGCAGCCGGUGGCCCAACCCCGUGUGGGAGGGCGCUGUCGAAGGUGGGACUGGCGAGUGGGACGACGUCGUCACAAGGUAGCCGUACCGGAAGGUGCGGCGGGAUCACCUACGGUCUAAGGAG
RNAcentral lists this ribosomal RNA (164 nucleotides) under Streptomyces sp. SP18CM02. RNAcentral describes it as "partial 16S ribosomal RNA". It matches the Rfam family "Bacterial small subunit ribosomal RNA", at positions 1381 to 1533 of the family's 1533-position model. Lineage: Bacteria; Bacillati; Actinomycetota; Actinomycetes; Kitasatosporales; Streptomycetaceae. The record is from RNAcentral.